Molecule: ribosomal RNA, 251 nt
Filed under: uncultured bacterium
Lineage: Bacteria
Description: partial 16S ribosomal RNA
Rfam family: Bacterial small subunit ribosomal RNA
Source: RNAcentral
CGUAGGGGGCUAGCGUUGUUCGGAAUCACUGGGCGUAAAGGGCGCGUAGGCGGGUCUUUAAGUCAGGGGGGAAAUCCUGGAGCUCAACUCCAGAACUGCCUUUGAUACUGAGGAUCUUGAGUACGGGAGAGGUGAGUGGAACUGCGAGUGUAGAGGUGAAAUUCGUAGAUAUUCGCAAGAACACCAGUGGCGAAGGCGGCUCACUGGCCCGUUACUGACGCUGAGGCACGAAAGCGUGGGGAGCAAACAGG